AUUGAACGCUGGCGGAAUGCUUUACACAUGCAAGUCGAGCGGCAGCGCGGGGGCAACCCUGGCGGCGAGCGGCGAACGGGUGAGUAAUACAUCGGAACGUGUCCUUGAGUGGGGGAUAGCUCGGCGAAAGCCGGAUUAAUACCGCAUAAGCUCUGAGGAGGAAAGCGGGGGACCGGUAACGGCCUCGCGCUGUUGGAGCGGCCGAUGUCGGAUUAGCUAGUUGGUGGGGUAAAGGCCCACCAAGGCGACGAUCCGUAGCUGGUCUGAGAGGAUGAUCAGCCACACUGGAACUGAGACACGGUCCAGACUCCUACGGGAGGCAGCAGUGGGGAAUUUUGGACAAUGGGGGCAACCCUGAUCCAGCCAUUCCGCGUGAGUGAAGAAGGCCUGG
This 391-nucleotide ribosomal RNA is filed under the name uncultured bacterium. RNAcentral's name for it is "bacterial SSU rRNA". It matches the Rfam family "Bacterial small subunit ribosomal RNA", at positions 29 to 419 of the family's 1533-position model. The record is from RNAcentral.